This is a small nuclear RNA of Cercocebus atys (sooty mangabey), 107 nucleotides long. The record is from Ensembl. NCBI's taxonomy places the organism in Eukaryota, Metazoa, Chordata, Mammalia, Primates, Cercopithecidae.
AUGCUUGCUUCAGCAGCACACAUACUAAAAUUGGAACAAUACAGAGGAGAUUAGCAUGGCCCUUGCGCAAGGAUGACACGCAAAUUCGUGAAGGAUUCCAUAUUUUC